RNAcentral lists this ribosomal RNA (497 nucleotides) under uncultured bacterium. Its description in RNAcentral is "partial 16S ribosomal RNA". It matches the Rfam family "Bacterial small subunit ribosomal RNA", at positions 28 to 507 of the family's 1533-position model. The record is from RNAcentral.
GAUGAACGCUGGCGGCGUGCCUAAUACAUGCAAGUCGAGCGAACAGACGAGGAGCUUGCUCCUCUGACGUUAGCGGCGGACGGGUGAGUAACACGUGGAUAACCUACCUAUAAGACUGGGAUAACUUCGGGAAACCGGAGCUAAUACCGGAUAAUAUAUUGAACCGCAUGGUUCAAUAGUGAAAGACGGUUUUGCUGUCACUUAUAGAUGGAUCCGCGCCGCAUUAGCUAGUUGGUAAGGUAACGGCUUACCAAGGCGACGAUGCGUAGCCGACCUGAGAGGGUGGUCGGCCACACUGGAACUGAGACACGGUCCAGACUACUAAGGGAGGCAGCAGUAGGGAAUCUGCCGCAAUGGGCGAAAGCCUGACGGAGCAACGCCGCGUGAGUGAUGAAGGUCUUCGGAUCGUAAAACUCUGUUAUUAGGGAAGAACAAAUGUGUAAGUAACUAUGCACGUCUUGACGGUACCUAAUCAGAAAGCCACGGCUAACUACGUG